CGGGGGAACUCCCAGACCAGC
RNAcentral lists this microRNA (21 nucleotides) under Sus scrofa (pig). RNAcentral's name for it is "ssc-miR-7137-5p". The record is from miRBase by way of RNAcentral. Lineage: Eukaryota; Metazoa; Chordata; Mammalia; Artiodactyla; Suidae.